RNAcentral lists this unclassified non-coding RNA (244 nucleotides) under plant metagenome. RNAcentral's name for it is "partial contains small subunit ribosomal RNA, internal transcribed spacer 1, and 5.8S ribosomal RNA". The record is from RNAcentral.
UCUCCAUUGGUGAACCAGCGGAGGGAUCAUUACCGAGUUUAUAACUCCCAAACCCAAUGUGAACCAUACCAAACUGUUGCCUCGGCGGGGUCACGCCCCGGGUGCGUCGCAGCCCCGGAACCAGGCGCCCGCCGGAGGGACCAACCAAACUCUUUCUGUAGUCCCCUCGCGGACGUUAUUUUUACAGCUCUGAGCAAAAAUUCAAAAUGAAUCAAAACUUUCAACAACGGAUCUCUUGGUUCUG